Molecule: long non-coding RNA, 266 nt
Filed under: Helianthus annuus (common sunflower)
Lineage: Eukaryota; Viridiplantae; Streptophyta; Magnoliopsida; Asterales; Asteraceae
Description: sRNA HanXRQr2_Chr17g0826931
Source: RNAcentral
UAUCAUAAACUUGUAAAUCACUUAUGUAUAAAUGUGUUAAUGGGUUAUUCUCACUUGAGUUUUGCAUCAUUGUUAUAAUAGUUAUGCAUCACAAGUUGCAUAUCACUAUACCAAUAAUUGUGCAUAAGGGGGUCAAUAGUUGUGCAUCAAUGUGUUAACCGAUGCUUUAUCUUUAGAUACACAAAAGCAUCAUUCUACUACACUAAAUUUAACAUUAUGCUAACCUUUUAGUGGGGAGUUGAAUUGCAUAGAAAGGGUUGAGCACG